Molecule: non-coding RNA, 143 nt
Organism: Caenorhabditis elegans
Lineage: Eukaryota; Metazoa; Nematoda; Chromadorea; Rhabditida; Rhabditidae
Source: Ensembl
ACUUUUUCGACAAAAGAACGACGCAAUCGGUGUUGCGAAAGCUUCUCACGGGAUCGUGUGCCGCACUUUUUUCCGUAUCCGUUCGUUUCGAUGGUAGGUGAAUAGUCAGAAAAUAUGCAGACAAGACGUUCUUCACGGUCAAC